AUAUUGGACAAUGGGCGCAAGCCUGAUCCAGCCAUGCCGCGUGAGUGAUGAAGGCCCUAGGGUUGUAAAGCUCUUUCACCGGUGAAGAUAAUGACGGUAACCGGAGAAGAAGCCCCGGCUAACUUCGUGCCAGCAGCCGCGGUAAUACGAAGGGGGCUAGCGUUGUUCGGAAUUACUGGGCGUAAAGCGCACGUAGGCGGGUAUUUAAGUCAGGGGUGAAAUCCCGGAGCUCAACUCCGGAACUGCCUUUGAUACUGGGUACCUAGAGUAUGGAAGAGGUAAGUGGAAUUCCGAGUGUAGAGGUGAAAUUCGUAGAUACUCGGAGGAACACCAGUGGCGAAGGCGGCUCACUGGACCAUUACUGACGCUGAGGUGCGAAAGCGUGGGGAGCAAACAGGAUUAGAUAC
This 407-nucleotide ribosomal RNA is filed under the name uncultured Rhizobium sp. RNAcentral describes it as "bacterial SSU rRNA". It matches the Rfam family "Bacterial small subunit ribosomal RNA", at positions 361 to 785 of the family's 1533-position model. The record is from RNAcentral. Lineage: Bacteria; Pseudomonadati; Pseudomonadota; Alphaproteobacteria; Hyphomicrobiales; Rhizobiaceae.